Molecule: transfer RNA, 66 nt
Filed under: Cucujoidea sp. 14 KM-2017
Lineage: Eukaryota; Metazoa; Arthropoda; Insecta; Coleoptera
Description: tRNA-Leu
Source: RNAcentral
UCUAAUAUGGCAGAAUAGUGCAUUGAAUUUAAGCUUCAAUUAUAAAGAUUACUUCUUUUUUUAGAA